RNAcentral lists this unclassified non-coding RNA (5399 nucleotides) under Anthonomus grandis grandis. Its description in RNAcentral is "uncharacterized LOC126748138". Lineage: Eukaryota; Metazoa; Arthropoda; Insecta; Coleoptera; Curculionidae. The record is from RNAcentral.
CACACAAUCCUUAUGUGCAGUUAAAUCUUCUCUUCUUUUAGGAAGUAGGUGGUGAGGGAGGCUCAAAAUAAAAAAAUAAGUGUGGAUCUGAAAUAGACCAGCUCGAGUUUCAGACUUCAGUAUAUCGUGUAUGCAAAUAUGGAAGACGGCACAUAGAACGUGGCUUGCAUAGCGCUGAUUGAUGAGGCUAACUCUGUUCCUGACAGACCCGGAAUCACAAAGGCAGGAAUGGUAAAGAAGGUAUAGAUACCUACCAGGUCAGGAGGUAUUUGAGAAGUUUAAGUUGAUUAUGAAUAUUUCUCAUUUAAUGCCUACUCAAAAAAUCAGGGUGUAUUUCCAGAUGUCCUGAAGAAGAGCAUAGUUAAACCGAUUCCAAAAACUGAGAACUGGCGAGUCUUAACGAUCUUGGACCUAUCAGCAUACUACCGGCUAUGUCAAAAGUUAUUGAAAAAUUAAUCUUCGAACAAAUUAGUGACUUCUCAAAAAAAUUUAAAAUAAUUCCAAGCUGUCAGUCGGGCUUUAGAAAGCAGUUUAGUACGUCAUCGUGUUUGGUCCAAGUCCUUAACGACAUUAAACAUAAUGAGGACUAAAAGUCAUCGACACUUCUUACAUUGCUUGACUUUAGUAAAGCAUUUGACACCUUGGAUCACAAAAUGAUGCUUGCGACACUACAGUACUAUAAUUUUUUCCAACCCGUAAUAAACUUUUUUUAAAAUUUCUUGCCUAAUAGAGCAUGUUGUGUGUCAAUUGCAACCGAAUCCGGGGUAAACAAUCAAAGUAUGAACCAAUAACAAAAGGCGUUCCACAAGGAUCAAUUCUAUCUCCACUUUUAUUUUCUAUUUAUGUAGCAGACAUGCAUAGUUGUCUUUUUUAUAGCACACUACAACAAUAUGCAUACAAUUCGCAACUUUAUAUGGCAAUUAAUAGUGAAGAUCUGACAGAGUGUAAUCUUAAAAUAAAUCAAGAUUUAAAGAGAAUAUUUAUUUAUUCCAAUGAUCAUAAUCUUAACAUCAAUGCUACGAAAUCCAGGCAAUUCUUAUAAGCCAAAGUAAACAAGCAAUGGAGCACCUGAAAAAGAAUAUGUCAAUUAUCUUAAAUAACGAACCCAUUUCUUUUAAAUCGGAAGCAAAAAACCUGGGCAUAAUUAUUAAAGAAUUAACAAAAUUCUAAACACACAUCGACAAUAAAUUAAAAGCAGCCUACUAUCGCUUAAAAAUGUAUAUCACCUAAAAAACUGUCUACCCUUAAAAAUUAAAUACUUUUUUUGAAUUUUAUCAUUUUUUGAUUACAGAGAUGUGGUAUACUCUAUAACAAGUUUAUAUAAAAAAAUCAGUAAUUACAAAACACAUGCAUGAGAUUCUCUUUUAAUAUCCACUAUAGAGAUCAUUUAACUUCACAUCUAAAUAAUAACAAAAUUUUCACCAUGGAGAAUAGAAGAAAGCUUCAUUCGUACUGCUUUGUCUGAUAAUCAAAUACAAUAAAAUAUUUUACAUUAAAUAUUCAGGUUCGUAAUAACUAAUAUGUAAACGUGUGUACAUUUUUGUUUUAUUCUUGUCUUUGGUUUUUCUUUUGUUUUUUUUUACCAAUAAAAAUGCACACAUUCACUUUUUGACUGCAUUCACUUUUUGGCUGGCAUCCUGAAUGGAAAUGCGCACUUGAUUAUAAAUGAGACCCAUUCUCCUACGCAACUCACUGACGUAGUGCCGCAACAUCUAUUCCUGGCGGGCAACCAAUCUUCAGAUCGCAUGGGCGACGGAGUUCUCUUCCCAUCACUAUCCGAGCCAAAAACUCUCCUGUGCUUUCAUAAAUGGCCGAUCGAUAAACCAAAUGAAGAAACCUAAACCAGUUCUUUGGUGCCUAGAGACUAGUUCCGCCAAGUACCGAUUAAUAGUCCUAUUGAAUUGCUCCCAAUGCCAUCUGACUGCAUGGCGGAAUGCAGUAGUUUUCUUGACUCCAAGCGUUUUACAGAUGUGCUGGAACAGGUAGAUUCAAAAUUACGUCCUUGGUCUGAAUGUAACUCCAAAAGUACACCAAAUCGCCAAAUCCGUUUUUUUAUGAAGAGGUCGGCGAUAGUAGAGGCUGCAUUGUUUGCUGGAGGGUAUGCCCCAACCCAUUCGCAUCAGGAGCAGGAUGUGCCCUGCUUUUUGCUUCAUUAAUUCUGCUUCAGCUCCCACAGAAUGCUUUAUGGUCCUAGAAUAUCAAGUCAUUAUUUCUACCCAUAGCAAAAUGGCAGCCUUAAUUUAACUUAACUUAAGUAGUAACACAGAAAUGUAACUAUUUCACUACACAAGAUGUUGAAAUAGUACACCAUUAACUUCAAGACAGUAAAAUAUUCUACUGGAGAACUCUUCACGAAUAUUUUCGAAAGUGGAAACAUCAACAUUGGGACAUGCAUCAAUUAUUUUUUGAAGUAGAUCGAUGAAGAUAGAUUCUGGCUGGGUGACGUAGACUUUUUGUUUCAAGUAGCACCAUGAAAAGAAGUCCAGAGGUUUAAGAUCGGGCGACCUGGCUGGCCACUCGGUUGACCCUCGACGACCAAUCCACGGAUUAGGGUCAGUAUUAGUAAAAUAUUUUCAUUUCUGCUAAAGUGAGGCGGUGCCUCAUCUUGUGGAAAAAAUGUUUCCAACUUAAAUUCAUGGGGAUUGUUUAAUAAUUUAAGGAUCUGUGGUUCUACUGAAUUUUCCAACAUGUUUAAGUAAAGGUUCCCUGCCAAAUUUUGGUCUAAAAAGAUAGGUCCAACAAUGUGACAAUUCAUGAAAUAUGUGGCGAUUUACGUCGCUCCAAUAACGAACAUUUUGUCUAUGUACAUUACCAUUCAAAAAAAGAGUAUAUUCAUCACUGAAACAAAUGUUCUUCACAUAAACAGGCUGAUGGUCUAUUCUCUCGGUCAAUACUUGGCAUCAGGAUCCUCUUCUGUCAAUUGAUAAACCAUUUGAAUUUUAUACAGAUGAAAUUUAUGUUUUUUAAGUGUCAUUUUUACAGUAGUAGAAGAUACAUCACAUGUGUUUGUGGAAUCCAACUGUGGGAGGAGACUGUUGUGGAUAGCUGGGAUACCCUGAAUCUCUUUCUCCUACCAACACUACCCGUCUCGGUAAAUUUCUGAAUUAGCUCGCGAAUAUACUUUCGACAUACUGGACAGUCAGGAAAGCGAACAUUAAAAAUUCUUUCCGUCUCAUGUACAAUGUACAUUGCGCUUUCCACCGUAAAUAAAAAUAAUUUCAAUAUUUUCAAUAAGGGGACGUGGACAUUUUCGAUUAAAUCAAAGUAUAAAUAGAAUUGCACUGAACGAAAUAGCAAAAAUAUUUUCUACUUUCGUUCUUAUUCGCUUUUAAUUAUAUAGGUAAACUAAAUAAGUUUUGUGUGGAACCGUAACAUUUAUGAUAAUAAUCUAAUAUUGACAUUGACAAUAAAUACAAACUCUACAAAUAAAUUACACCUGAACAGGUGUACUAAAGAAAAUAAACAUGCGAAAAUAAGAUUUUGAAAGGCUGCCAUUUUGCUAUGGGUAGAAGUAAUGCUUUAGAAGAUAGAAGAAUGGCCUUGAUGAUUUAAAAAUCUCGAGCCGAUCCGAGACGAGGAGACGGAACGUGAAGAAGAAGAAACAAAAUCUGUAUUAUUGCCUAGAAGUUAACGGUGGCCAUUUUCAGCAUUUGUUGGAUUAGUAUAUAUGUAUGAUUGUUAAUAGUUUGGUAUUGUGAAUUAAUAGUUUGACAAAGAAUUGCGAUUAUUUUCCAGAAAACUGUAUUAAAUGUUAAUAUAGUCAAUCGUUUGAGAACCACUGAAGUAAAAUCAUUUAAACUAGUUAUAGCUGUAAAGAGAAUCGAAAGGCCUUUCAAACAAGGUAUAACUCGACCCACAAGUCCAUUUAAAGUCCUUUAAUCUUGCUUCUUUAUCAGUUGACUGAAGACCGAAUAUGCGUAGAUUUUUACUGCGGCACUGUUGUUCCAAGCAUCCGAUGAAAUGGCUAGGUGCUUGUUUUCCGCAAAUAUUUUAGUUAGUUUUUCCUCUAAGGAGGAAAUUCUUUUUUCUUGUUCUCGCUGGCAGCUUUCAAGCUUUCUUUCGAGUAUUUCAAAUACUUUAGUGGCUACCUCUUCAAGAAAUUUCUCGGUAAAUACGCUACUUAUGAUGGACUUAACUUCUCGCGCAUCCACACUUGACAGAACCAUGUUUACUAGGUAGUACUUAGAUAAUACAUUAUGAUAUAUUUAAUGGUAUAUUUUUACUAAAAGAAACUGCUAAUUUGGGCAAACAAUUACUAGGACACACACUGCGAUGUUAGAGCUCACCCCCAAAACUACAGAGCCGCAAUUAAUUCUUCACUUAAUUCUUACUUUAUUUUAUAAAAAUUAUAGAGCGAUAUUAAUCUGUUGUCUACAACAACAUCGCCAUCUUGGAAUAUGGUCGAGAAGGUCGGAAGACUCGAUUAAAGUGGUCAAUUUAAUUCAUUCUUAUAAUGAUAGUUGGCAAUUAACUAUAACAUUUUAAUACAUCAUUCCUCUUACAUAAAUAAUAUUUUUUUUAAAACAUGAUGGGCGACGGCCGAAAGCGCUAUAUAGUUUUGAAUAUCCCCAUAGUUACAUACGGCGUACAACUGACGAAGUCUCUAUGAGAGAACAGCUUAUAAAGGGUUCCUUCCAAAGCUUACUUUUUUCGAGACAAAACUGGUUUUUUAGAUUAGGCAUAUUCUUUUAAACUUCGGACCAACAGGUUUGCUUUCUUUCUGGAUGUUUUUUGAGAUAGGUGCUGCUGUAUCCACAGUAUUUUUGGGGCGCAAAAUGUAAAUACAUAUACAUAUCUAAACUUUUCCUGGUCAGUAAGUUAUUUCAAGGAUAAUAAUACAAUAUUAACUAUUCAACAGCAAUACAAAAUUGACUAUUUAAUAAUAAAAAUAAAAUAUUACUGGAAAAAGCAACAACUCCAUGAUCACAGUAAGAACACCAGGUCAGAUGUGAUAUGAUGUUCAGUGACAGUGAUCUAAAAGUGUCAAAGUAUCUAAAAAAAAAUAAAAUGCAAAAAGCACAUUUUUAGUAUCAAGAAAAUCUGACACAUUCUUGAAUUUAUAAUAAAAAGUCAGAUAUCGGGCGCAUUUUUAUUAAUAAUUAAACUUUUUUUGUUUAUUUUAAAGCUUAAAUUUAAAAGAGUAUGUGUUGUUUUCACUUUAAUAAACAGCCAAAUUACCUUUUAGAUUUUUUUUAGGGAUUUAAAUGUUUAUUUUUAUAAUAUUUAAUUUAAAAUAACAAGUUCUUUAAAUUUAUUGUACUACUUUCUAUAAAAUAUAAGAUUAGCGCACGCCAUUGAACCGGCCAUAUUUUUCUCGUGAUUGAAAACCGCAGACGCAGGUAUCAACCACCUAUUAGGUAUUGGUACUAUAAGCCAAUAAAAGAUUCGUUACUCCUAUA